GAAGGUAUAGCUCAGUGGUAGAGUGUAUGCUUAGCAUGCAUGAAGUCCUGGGUUCAAUCUCUAGUACCUCCA
Molecule: transfer RNA, 72 nt
Filed under: Camelus bactrianus (Bactrian camel)
Lineage: Eukaryota; Metazoa; Chordata; Mammalia; Artiodactyla; Camelidae
Also listed under: 2 other names
Rfam family: tRNA
About the family: Transfer RNA (tRNA) molecules are approximately 80 nucleotides in length.
Source: Rfam by way of RNAcentral